UAAUGGCACAGGCAGGGAGCCCAGCCAACAGCGAGUUGCAGUAAUCCAGACGGGAGAUGACAAGUGCCUGGAUUAGGACCUGCGCUGCUUCCUGUGUGAGGCAGGGUCGUACUCUGCGGAUGUUGUAGAGCAUGAACCUACAAGAACGGGCCACCGCCUUGAUGUUAGUUGAGAACGACAGGGUGUUGUCCAGGAUCACGCCAAGGUUCUUAGCGCUCUGGGAGGAGGACACAAUGGAGUUGUCAACCGUGAUGGCGAGAUCAUGGAACGGGCAGUCCUUCCCCGGGAGGAAGAGCAGCUCCGUCUUGCCGAGGUUCAGCUUGAGGUGGUGAUCCGUCAUCCACACUGAUAUGUCUGCCAGACAUGCAGAGAUGCGAUUCGCCACCUGGUCAUCAGAAGGGGGAAAGGAGAAGAUUAAUUGUGUGUCGUCUGCAUAGCAAUGAUAGGAGAGACCAUGUGAGGUUAUGACAGAGCCAAAAAAAUCCCCAAAAUUGUUUGCAUAGUCAACUUACAUGUAACUCUGACACACACACUUACCGCAGCAGACAUGCCACCAGGGGUCUUUUCACAGUCCCCAAAUCCAGAACAAAUUCAAGAAAGUGUACCAUAUUAAAGAGAGACAUUAUUUCAUGGAACUCCGUUCCAUCUCAUAUUGCUCAAAUGAACAGCAUACCUGGUUAAAUUAUUAUUUUUUUUAAACACCUCACGGCACAACACCUCUCCCCUAUUUGAGCUAGUUUGUAUUGAUAUGUAGGCUGAGCUGUUCUUGUCUAUUAAUGUCUGUGUUUUGUGUGGACCUCAGGAAUAGUAGCUGCUGCUUUUGCAACAGCUAAUGGGGAUCCUAAUAAAAUACCAAUACCAAAAUAAGUUCUGUAAACAAUAACUCAUUUACCAUCAUUUUUUAAUUUAAAACAAGUUUACAUACACUUAGGUUGGAGUCAUUAAAACUUGUUUUUCAACCAGUCAACAAAUUUCUUGUUAACAAAUUAUAGUUUUGGCAAGUCGGUUAGGACAUCACUGUGUGCAUGACACAAGUAAUUUUUCCAGCAAUUGUUUACAGAUUAUUUCACUUAUAAUACACUAUAUCACAAUUACAGUGGGUCAGAAGUUUACAUACACUAAAUUGACUGACCCUUUAAUUAAACAGCUCGGAAAAUUCCAGAAAAUGAUGUCAUGGCUUUAGAAGCAACAUCUCAAGACAUCAGUCAGGAAGUUAAAGCUUGGUCGCAAAUGAGUCUUCCAAAUGGACAAUGACCCCAAGCUCAUAAAGUUGUGGCAAAAUGGCUUAAGGACAGCAAAGUCAAGGUAUUGGAGUGGCCAUCACAAAGCCCUGACCUCAAUCCUAUAGAAAAUGUGUUGGCAGAACUGAAAAAGCGUGUGCGAGCAAGGAGGCCUAUAAACCUGACUCAGUUACACCAGCUGUCAGGAAGAAUGGGCCAAAAUUCACCCAACUUGCUGUGAGAAUCUUGUGGAAGACUACCCGAAACAUUUGACCAAAGUUAAAUGAUUUAAAGGCAAUGCUACCAAAUACUAAUUGAGUGCAUGUAAACUUCUGACCCACCGGGAAUUUGAUGAAAGAAAUAAAACCUGAAAUAAAUAAUUCUAUCUAAUAUUAUUCUGACAUUUCACAUUCUUAAAAUAAAGGAUUACUAGGAUUAAAUGUCAGGAUUUGUGAAAAACUGAGCUUAAAUGUAUUUGGCUAAAUUGUAUGUAAACUUCUGACUUCAACUGUACAUUAAACAAAAAUAUGAACACAACCUGUAAAGUGUUGGUCCCAUGUUUCAUGAGCUGAAAGAAAAGUUUCCAGAAAAUGUCCAUAUCCACAAAAAGCUUUUUUUUCAAAAAACCUGUUCACAAAUGAGUUUAGAUCCCUGUUUUUGAGCACUUUUCCUUUGCCAAGAUAAUCCGUCUACUGUCUAGGUGUGGCAUAUCAAGAAGCUGAUGAAACGGCAUGAUAAUUACACAGGUGCACCUUGUGAAUUCCAAGAUGGCAUAGCAGUCAGAAGUCUUUUGUCCUUGUCUUGUCGUAUCCCGUGUAUAUAUCUUUUUGCCUUUUUUCUUUGCAUAUAUAUUUUUUUGUAUUUUUCUUAACCUCAACAUACUCUCUUGAAAUUCGCCUCACCCAAUGUGGUACGGUUCUGCUAUUUUCUUUACUUUUGAACCGGAACCCCCAACAGAAGCUAGCCAGCUACUAGCUAGUAGUCAGCUAGCCACUGCUAGCGGUCAUCAGCUACCUUUAGCCUGGAAAACUCUCGCCAGUCUGCACAGAGCGACUCAAACCAGAGCAAAUCUGACUUAUUUUUCACCAUAUCUCCGGAUUCCUACCGCAAGCUCUGUACCUUUUCACCUGGAUCAUCACAGCUAGCUAGCUGCUAUCCGAGUGGCCACUCCUGGCUAACGUCUCUGUCCCAAAGCAAGAACCAAUUAGCCUGGAGGUAGCCUUUGCUAGGCCCAUCUCCCGGCUAGCCAAAGAGGUCCAUCAGCCACUCCUUGUGCUACAAUACCUAUUUUGCCAAUUGGCCUGGACCCCUUUUACUGCCGACAAGGAGGCCCGCUGACCCAUCACGACUGGACUACCGACGUAAUUCACUCGAGGGUUUUUUUCAACUGGCUCCUCCAUCGUGACGUCCCCUGAAUGCCCAUCUGCUAACCUGGUAGCUGUGGCUAGCUGGCUGUCUAGAGCAUUUUGGACUGUUAGCUGAAGAGGCCCAUCGGACAAAUUCUUUGGCCACUAUACCUAUUUUGCCAAUUGGCCUGGACCCUUUUACCACACGGAGCUCUGCUGAUCCAUGACGACUGGUCUACAAACGUAACAGCACGAGGAUGACAGACUUAUUCCGUCGCGACGUCCCUCUAAGGCCCUUCUGCUAGACCCGGCCCGCUAGCUGUCUGAAUCGCUGUGUCUCCGGCCCACCGAGCUAAUCACUGGACCCCUAUGAUCACUCGGCUACGCAUGCCUCUCCCUAAUGUCAAUAUGCCUUGUCCAUUGCUGUUUUGGUUAGUAAUUAUUGCCUUUUUUCACUGUAGAGCCUCUAGCCCUGCUCAAUAUGCCUUAGAUAACCCUUUAGUUCCACCUCCCACACAUGCGGUGACCUCACCUGGUUUAAAUGAUGUGCCUAGAGACAAUAUCUUUCUCACCAUCCCUCAAUGCAUAGGUUGACAUCCACUGUAUUCACAUCCUACCAUACAUUUGUCUGUACAUUAUGCCUUGAAUCUAUUCUACCGUGCUCAGAAACCUGCUCCUUUUACUCUCUGUUCCGAACGUACUAGACGACCAGUUCUUAUAGCCUUUAGCCGUACCCUUAUCCUACUCCUCCUCUGUUCCUCAGGUGAUGUAGAGGUUAAUCCAGGCCCUGCAGUGCCUAGCUCCACUCCAUUCCCCAGGCGCUCUCAUUUGUUGACUUCUGUAACCGUAAAGGCCUUGGUUUCAUGCAUGUUAACAUUAGAAGCCUCCUCCCUAAGUUUGUUUUAUUCACUGCUUUAGCACACUCUGCUAACCUGGAUGUCCUAGCAGUGUCUGAAUCCUGGCUUAUGAAGACCACCAAAACCCUGAUAUUUCCAUCCUUAACUAUAACAUUUUCAGACAAAAUAGAACUGCCCAAGGGGGCAUAGUUGCAAUCUACUGCAGAGAUAGCCUGCAGAGUUCUGUCUUACUAUCCAGGUCUGUGCCCAAACAAUUUGAGCAUCUACUUUUAAAAAUCCACCUUUUCAGAAACAAGUCUCUCACCGUUGCCGCUUGCUAUAGACCACCUUCUGCCCCCAGCUGUGCCCUGGACACCAUAUGUGAAUUGGUUGCCCCCCAUCUAUCUUCAGAGCUCAUGCUGUUAGGUGACCUAAACUGGGACAUGCUUAACACUACACACUUAACACUACAUCCUACAAUCUCAGCUUGAUGCCCUCAAUCUCACACAAAUUAUCAAUGAACCUACCAGGUACAACACCAAAUCCGUAAAUACGGGCACCCUCAUAGAUAUCAUCUUAACCAACCUGCCCUCCAAAUACACCUCUGCUGUCUUCAACCAGGAUUUCAGCUAUCACUGCCUCAUUGCCUGCGUCCGUAAUGGGUCUGCGGUCAAACAACCACCCCUCAUCUCUGUCAAAACAUCUAUAAAACACUUCAGCGAGCAGGCCUUUCUAAUCAACCUGGCCCGGGUAUCCUGGAAGGAUAUUGACCUCAUUCCAUCAGUAGAGGAUGCCUGGUUAUUCUUUAAAAGUGCUUUCCUCACCAUCUUAAAUAAGCAUGCCCCAUUCAAAAACAUUUAGAACCAUGAACAGAUAUAGCGCCCCCCACAGCAACUUGCCCAAGCCUCCCCUAUUUCUCCUUCACCCAAAUCCAGAUAGAUGAUGUUCUAAAAGAGCUGCAAAAUCUGGACCCCUACAAAUCAGCCAGGCUAGACAAUCUGGACCCUCUCUUUCUAAAAUUAUCUGCCAAAAUUGUUACAACCCCUAUUACUAGCUUGUUCAACCUCUCUUUCGUAUCGUCUGAGAUCCCCAAAGAUUGGAAAGCUGUCGCGGUCAUCCCCCUCUUCAAAAGGGGGAGACACUCUAGAACCAAACUGCUACAGACCUAUAUCUAUUCUACCCGGCCUUUCUAAGGUCGUCGAAAGCCAAGUUAACAAACAUCACCAAUCAUUUCGAAUCCCACCGUACCUUCUCCGCUAUGCAAUCUGGUUUCCAAGCUGGCCAUGGGUGCACCUCAGCCACGCUCAAGGUCCUAAACGAUAUCAUAACCGCCAUCGAUAAGAGACAAUACUGUGCAGCUGAAUUCAUCGACCUGCCCAAGGCUUUCGACUCUGUCAAUCACCGCAUUCUUAUCGACAGACUCAAUAGCCUUUGUUUCUCAAUUGACUGCCUCGCCUGGUUCACCAACUACUUGUCAGAUAGAGUUCAGUGUGUCAAAUCGGAGGGCCUGUUGUCCGUACCUCUGGCAGUCUCUGGGGGUGCCACAGGGUUCAAUCCUCGGGCCGAAUCUUCUCUGUAUACAUUAAUGAUGUCGCUCUUGCUGCUGGUGAUUCUCUGAUCCACCUCUACGCAGACAAUACCAUUCUGUAUACUCCUGGCCCAUCUUUGGACACUGUGUUAACCAACCUCCAGACGAGCUUCAAUGCCAUACAACUCUCCUUCCGUGGCCUCCAUCAGCUCUUCAAAUCAAGUAAAAUUAAAUGCAUGCUCUUCAACCAAUCGCUGCCCACACCUGCCCGCCCGUCCAGCAGCACUACUCUGGACGGUUCUGACUUAGAAUAGGUGGACAACAACAAAUACCUAGGUGUCUGGUUAGACUGUAAACUCUCCUUCAAGACUCACAUUAAGCAUCUCCAAUCCAAAAUUAAAUCUAGAAUCGGCUUCCUAUUUCACAACAAAGCAUCCUUCUCUCAUGUUGCCAUACCUUCGUACAACUGACCAUCCUUCCGAUCCUUGACUUUGGCGAUGUCAUUUACAAAAUAGUCUCUAACACUCUACUCAGCAAAUUGGAUGCAGUCUAUCACAGUUCCAUCCGUUUUGUCACCAAAGCCCUAUAUACUACCCACCACUGCGACCUGUACACUCUCGUUGGCUGGCCCUUGCUUCAUAUUCGUUACCAAACCCACUGGCUCCAGGUCAUCUAUAAGUCUUUGCUAGGUAAAGCCCGCCUUAUCUCAGCUCACUGGUCACCAUAGCAGCACUCACUCGUAGCACGCUCUCCAGCAGGUAUAUUUCACUGGUCACCCCUAAAGUCAAUUCCUCAUUCGUCCGCCUUUCCUUCCAGUUCUCUGCUGCCAAUGACUUGAACAAACUGCAAAAAAAAUCCCUGAAGAUGGAGACUCAAAUCUCCCUCACUAUCUUUAAGCACCAGCUGUCAGAGCAGCUCACAGAUCACAGUACCUGUACAUAGCCCAUCUGUAAAUAGCCCAUCCAACUACCUCAUCCCCAUAAUGUUAUUUAUUUUGCUCCUUUGCACCCCAGUAUCUCUGCUUGCAUACUCAUCUUCUGCAGAUCUAUCACUCCAGUGUUUAUUUGCUACAUUGUAAUUAUUUUGCCACUAUGGCCUAUUUAUUGCCUUACCUCCCUUAUCCUACCUCAUUUUCACACACUGUAUGUAGACUUUUUCUAUUGUAUUAUUGACUGUAUGUUUGUUUAUUCCAUGUGUAACUCUGUGUUGUUGUUUGUGUCGCUAUACUUUGCUUUAUCUUGGCCAGGUCGCAGUUGUAAAUGAGAACUUGUUUUCAACCAGCCUACCUGGUUAAAUAAAGGUGAAAAUAAAAUUAAAAGAAAAAACUUUAUUGUGGGACAAUAAAAGGCCCCUCUAAAAUGUGCAGUUGUGUCACACAACACAAUGCCACAGAUGUCUCAAGUUGAGGGAGUGUGCAAUUUGCAUGCUGAUUGCAGGAAUGUCCACCAGAGCUGUUGCCAGAGAAUGUAAUAUUAAUUUCUCUACCAUAAGCCUUAGAGAAUUUGGCAGUACGCCCCAACUGGCCACACAACUGCAGACCACGUGUAAGGCGUUGUGUGGGCAAGCGGUUUUCUGAUGUCAACUUUGUGAACAGAGUGCCCAAUGGUGGCGGUGGGGUUAUAGUAUGGGCAGGCUUACGUUUUGGACAACGAACACAAUUGCAUUUUAUCGAUAGCAAUUUGAAUGCACAGAGAUACAGUGACAAUAUCCUGAGGCCCAUUGUUUCAGCAUGAUAAUGCACCAGACAUGUUACCCAUUGACAAAGUUUGGGAUGCUCUGGAUCGAUGUGUAUGACAGCAUGUCAUAGCUCCCUCCAAUAUCCAGCAACUUCGCACAACCAUUGAAGGGGAGUGGGUCAACAUCCCACUGACCACAAUCAACAGCCUGAUCAACUCUAUGCGAAGGAGAUGUGUCGCACUGCAUGAGGAAAAUGGUGGUCACACCAGCUACUCCCUGCUUUUAUGAUCCAUGCCCCUACAUUGUUUUAAGGCUGUAUUCCCAGUUGUGAAAUCCAUAGAUUAGGCACUCAUGAAUUUAUUUCAAUUGACCGAUUUCCUUAUAUGAACUGUAACUCAGUAAAAUCUUUAACUGUUGAAUUUAUAUUUUGUUCACUAUAUAUUGCGUGAACAUCAAUGGAAUAUUAUGUUAAACCGAAAACAACUAUGCUAUGAACGUCAUAAAAACGGACUUAUUUGAAAUUGUGAAACAUUGUGCAACAUUGUGGUAAUGUCCUGUGCAACCUAAAUGAAUAUCACAAUAAUAUUCUUGCAACAUCCCAGACAACUCGCAUAACUUAAUGAAAGGUUCUGUCAACAUUCUUAUAACAUUACAUGAAUGUCAUCACAACUGAGCAUAUUUUGAGCUUUGGGAACCUAUCUCUUGUAAUGUACCCACAACAUCAAAGGAAUGAUUCAUGUACCCUGAUACGAACAUUAUUUAAAUGCACAACUGAACUGGACAGUUUUACAGUUUUAGUCUUUCGGGAACCUAGUCAUAUGAAAUCAAAUUUCAUUUGUCACAUGCUCUGAAUACAACGGGUGUAGUAGACCUUACCGUGAAAUGCUUACUUACAAGCCCUUAACAAACAAUGCAAUUCAAUAAAUAAAGUUUUAAAAAUGUAUUCUUUAUAAACUGAAGUGAAAAAAAUAAAUAAAAAAUAAACAAGAAAAUGACACAACUUGGCUAUAUACAGGGUGUAUCGGUACCGAGUCGAUGUGCGGGGGUACAGGUUAGUGGAGUUAAUUUGUAAAGUGACUAUGCAGCGAGUCCGGGUGGCCAUUUGAUUAAUUGUUCAACUUUCUUAUGGCUUGGUGGUAGAAGCUGUUAUUAAGGAGCCUUUUGGUCCUAGACUUGGCUCUCUGGUACCGCUUGCCAUACGGUAGCAGAGAGAACAUACUAUGACUUGGGUGACUAUGUCUGACAAUUUUUUGGGCCUUCCUCUGACACUGCCUAGUAUAUAGAUCCUGGAUGUCAGGAAGAUUGGCCCCAGCGAUGUACGCAUCCUCAUUUUGCCCUGUAGCGCCUAAUGGUCAGAUGCUGAGCAGUUGCCAGUACCAGGCGGUGAUGCAACCGGUCAGGAUGCUCUCGAUGGUGCAGCUGGGGACCCAUGACAAAUCUUUUCAGUCUCCUGAGGGGGAAACGUUGUUGUCGUGCCCUCACAACAUUCUUGAUGUGUUUGGACCAUGAUAGUUUGUUGGUGAUGUGGACACCAAGGAACUUGAAACUCUCAACCCGCUCCACUUCAGCCAUGUAGAUGUUAAUGGGGGUCUGUUCGGCCCUCCUUGGCCCUCCUUUUCCUAUAGUCCACGAUCAGCUCCUUUGUCUUGUUCACAUUGAGGGAGAGCUUUUUGUCCAGGCACUAAACUGCCAGGUCUCUGACAACCUAAAGAAACAUUCUGGGAACUUUUAAUAAAAGAACAGACGAAAUGUGUUUGAGGAACAUUCUUGCAACAUCAGGUGAAUGUUUUUUGCAUCAUAAAAUAAACAUUGUAGAAUAAUCUGCACAACUGGAAAGUCUAUUUUUUAAGAACAUUUAUUUUGUGAUGUCCCAAAAAAUUUUUGCAUCAGACUUUACCACAACCUAAUGCAACAUUCUGGGAACGUUUAAAAUAACAGAUUAAAUGUGUUCCAUGUACAGUAUGUUUUCGCAACAUCAGGCAAAUGUUUUAUACAAACAUUCUAUAAUCAUCAGCAUGACUGGACAGUUUGUGUUUUGGGAACAUAUCUUUUGUGAUGCACCCAUAAUGUUCCCACCAGACUGUUCCCACAACAUAAUGAAAGAUUCUGGGGACCUUGAAAGAACAGACUAAAUGUGUUCUGGGAAUGUUCUUGCAACAUUAGGCUAAUGUUUAAUAAAGCAUUCUAUAAUCAUCAGCAUAACUGGACAGUUUUGUGUUAUGAGAACAUUUGCCGCGACCUAAUCAAUGUUCUGGUAACUUCCACAGAGCCAAUUGACUUGCUGGGUGGGCUGUGAACCACUGACGGAGUAUACUGCCUGACAAAACGGAAUGAUACUGUAUGUAGGGGAUCAAAGGACCAUGAGUUAGUAACCACUACAGGUUGUCUGGUAAAAUAAAUAUAAAUGUGCUCAAAUAACAGUACAGAGCUGAAUAAUGAUUAAACAACAUGAAUACCAUCAACAUGAGCAAUUUACAUGAAUAGGAAAAUAGCUAGCCGAGCAGCAUGACAAACUCAAUGCUAACCAAAUGCAAGCGAAUCCUGAUAGAGAAAUGCUCACGAUAGCAAUCUAUCAUUAACUACUAACAAAAGACAUACAACUCAGCUCAUAAUAUGUAUACAGGUUUAGGAAAAACACAUUUUGCCACAUGCACAAACAAUAAUUGGACAGCGGGUGAUCUUGGUUCAAGAGAUUGAGUUCAGCAGAGGAGCAGGUCAUGUGUCUCAUCAAGAUGGAGAAAAUACAGAAUGUUUCACUUCUCUAAUGAAGAGGGUGUCCUGAAAUUGACUGCUGGCAGGCUCACACCAAUAGGGAGAUUUUUGAAUCAGCAUUUGGGGACUCUGAACUUUGUUAGAUACAAAAUAAGUGGAUUAACCAUCAACACAUUUGAGAAUAGCAAGGACAAAGCAGGUCACGUAUAAUGAAAACAUUUACCAGUAAUGGCAGCAUGUAUGCUAUCCAGAGAAUGUUUGUAUCAAAGAGCACAUGUAGGCUAACUGAUGAGGUGGGAUUCAACCUUCCAAUAUAUGAGGGCAAUACUAUUUGCCACCGGAGCAAUCUUUGAAGUAUGAUUGAUUAGCUAGUGAAGCACCACCAGAGCGGAGUACGAGGCUCAGCUUGGCGAGUAUCGCAGUGCCCUGGAGACGCUCACCUUGGACACCAUCAAACUGGAGAUCGAGCUGGACAACAUUCGCGGAAUGCCCACGAAUUCAAAGUCAAACAGAAUAGAUACAGACAGCUACUGCCAAGAGUUCAGAGGCUGUCUCAGAGGCCAAGAUGGAAAUCUCAGGGGCCUGGAAGGAGCUGCAGGCGCUCAGUCUAGAGUUCCAAUGCCUGGUCACUUCAAACAUGUCCCCGGAGCAGAACUUUGCGGAAGCUCAGUCCUAGUUCAACAUGGGUGUGGCAGGGUACCAUGCUCAGAUCUCCAGCUUGAUGUUGGCCAUUGAGGUGUCCAAAACUGACCUCCACAACCAGAUCCUGGACUACCAUGAGCUUCUGGACGUUAAGCUGGCUCUGGACGUGGAGGUCUCAACCAACAACCUGCUGGAAGGAGACGAUCUCAAGUAGGUAUAAGCACUACAUACAGUAUUAAAGCUGGUUUAUCAGUGCAAUCCAAGUCUAUGUCAGCCAGCUCAGCUAACGCCUAUAGGCUUUACACGACUGUGGUGUAAGGUGAACGCAUGUGUACUCAUGUAGUCAAAUAUAAGAUAAUGUAAUUUAAAAAGACUGUAAGGAAGCUGUUAACGCUCAUAUAACGCUCAUAUUUUCAUACUGGGGAGAUGGCCCAGUCAGACCACCACCUGACGGAUGGUCAGUAGUGCCGGGGCCACAUGAACUGACCUGUUUUCACCUGUAGGGGGCAGGAGUCCUGGGGUGUGUAGGGUAGACAUAGCCCUCACUCACCUUCACAUUUCCAUCCUGCAGGCUGGGACUCCCCCUUACCUUGUGCCUUUGUAUCUAGCCUGGGCAGGUUUCCACACGUAGAGGGAGCAUCAGGGUAGGAGAAUGGUUGCCUCGCUGAUUUGGAAAACUGUCUGGACUUUCUAGUCAUAUUUUCUCUGAGCGAUUUGAUAGCUAUUUUGUCUGUUUUAACAAAUAUCUCAUUGACAAAUGUACAUUGUGAACUGAAGAACUAACUUCAACCUGGUACAGCCAGAGGAGGCUAGGCCUCCCCUUUUGAGUCUGGCUCCUCUCAAGGUUUCUUCCUUUUAGGGAUAUCUCCUUGCUAUCUCUUCUGUGAUCUUUCUUUAUCCCCACACCCCAUUUUCCUUUCAUAUCUCUCUUUCUCGAGUAGGAGGAAGGGGUUUUCAAGUUAAAGAUAUCACGUCAGUCAGUCAUUUUGAUAUGGUAUCUUGACUUCAAUGUGUCAUAACAUGUUAUGCAAUUUUGACACCAUUAAACAUAUACAAUCCUUCUGCAUGUUAUCAUGUCAGGCUAUUAGUUAAUAUAAAAUAAAUGCAUAGAUAUGCAUGUAUAUAAUGUGAAGUGAAUACACAUGCAGCUCAAAGACCUACCAGCUCUCAGUCUCAUGUCAGAAUUAGAUGUUCAUCCAUGUUUCUCAAACAUCACAUUUAGAAUUAUUUAAGGUCAAGUUUAGGCAUUAACUCUUAAUUUUUAAGGUUAGGAUUAAGUUCAGGCAUUAAUCCACAUUUUUAAGAGUAGGCAUUAACUCCAAAUGGUUAAGGUAAGGCUGGAGGUUUGGGACAGCGAUAGAAAGUUGUUUUUGAACUUGCAACCUUUGGAAUCAGAGGCAAAUGCUUACACCCAACCGCCAUCACUGUCCACAACGCCAUAGCAAAACCGAAACCUACUUAAAGGUAACAGGUUACAUGUCAUCUCCCGACGUCCUCAAACAUGGAUGGACAUCGACUACUGACUUGUGUCACGGGUGACCUGGCUGUAAAAGACAGUGUUCUAGAGCAGUGCUUCCCUAUAAUUUCCCUUCUUGUGCUAAAUGUACUCAUUAAACCCUACUUAUUAAUCCUUCCACUUAGAACACAGUGAAUCUGAAUCUAGAGGAUUCCACCUCUAGACAGGUGGAUAUUCAGUUACUAAAGUGAGUCAACUUACCCUCUAGCUUCUCUGUCAAUUUAUGCCCAAUUUUUAGACUACCCAAUAAACAUUGCAUCUUAGAUCUGGCCCUCUGUUCAUUUAUGUUUGCUUAUGUGUUAAUGCUGUUACAUUAUAAGGUUUUGCAGAUGUUCUUAUUUUCAAUACAUUUUUUAAAACUCAUCAUUUCAUAUGUGGAUGUGUGAGUGAGUGUCAGUGCCCUGCUCAAGUUACUGUGUUUCGAUUUGAAAUUUGAGUUGCAUAAUUGUUGUUUGUGAGUAGAAAAGGAUAGGGGAGGAGCAUGUAAGAACGUUAGGGUGUGCUUCUCUCUGUCAUCUCUACCCUGUUCCUCAAAUAUCGUAGCUUUUGUGGUCUGCUCUUGGCAUGCAAGGCCCCAGAGAAAGUACACCACACAAUGUUCUAGACAGUACAGCCACUGGUAAACAGGUUGAGAGAGAGAGAACGUCACAACCAACCCCACCCGCAACUGCUGUGAAACUUUGUCACGCUAUGCAGGACUGACUGUUGCCACGACAACCCUGUUUGUAUGUGGGGUUUCCAUUUAUGAGGUUUAGAUCUUUUUUGUUGUUGCACUGAAUCAAAUCAUGCAUAUUUAUUUAUGAAGUAUCAGUUGAGAACCUGUAGCUGUACUGGAUGUUUUAGCAAAACAAUUAGCUAACGUAGCGUAUUGUAGGUAAUUAUUGGGUUUACAGGUACAUGAUUUUCAGUAUAUACUUACAUUUGUAUUAAGUUAUAGUAAUAAGAACACUUAAGUUUUAGUAGUGCUACCAAAAUUACAAACUUCAAAAUAUGUUUGAGUACUGCACGGAAGCAUUAGGAAAGCUAAACUAACUAUUGAAAAAGUGAGGAAUUAAACAAAUUGGGCUAUGGCUUGUGAAAUCUAGGCAGCUACUGUAUGUCCUCCGUAGGCUUAGAGCUGCCAAUAUAAUUCUAAAGACACGUGUAGAGCCUGCAAGCGGCACAUUGCCCUACAUGCUGCUAGGUGCUAACCACUUCUUAUUUUAGGCUACUAGCGUUGGCCACAGUUUUUCCUCUCGUUCUUCACUUUCUGUGUGCAACUGCGUGGGUACUAGGUCGAAAUAACAUUUUGUGACAUUGGUUUCUGAGGUGGGCAUUGAGUACAUUGCAUUCCUUUGAAUGUGAUUUUCUGGAUUUUUUCCCCUCAUUUUGUCUGUCAUAGUUGAAGUGUACCUAUGAUGAAAAUUACAGGCCUCUCAUCUUUUUAAGUGGGAGAACUUGCACAAUUGGUGGCUGACUAAAUACUUUUUUGCCCCACUGUAAGUAUUCACACUCCUGAGUCAUUACAUGUUAGAAUCACCUUUGGAUGCGAUUACAGCUGUGAGUCUUUCUUGGUAAGUCUCAAAGUGCUUUCCAAACAUUCUCAGGUCUUUGCCAUAGAUUUUCAAGCAGAUUUAAGUCAAUUAUAACUCAGGAACAUUCAAUGUAUUCUUGGCAAGUAACUCCAGUGUAUAUUUAGCCUUGUGAUUUAGGUUAUUGUCCUGCUGAAAGGUGAAUCAACCUCCCAGUGUCUGGUGGAAAGCAGACUGAACCAGGUUUUCCUCUAGGAUUUGACCUACGCUUAGCUCUUUUCCAUUUAUUUUUUAUCCUGAAAAUCUCCCCAGUCCUUAACGAUUACAAGCAUACCAAUAACAUGAUGCAGCCACCACUAUGCUUAAAAAUAUGGAGAGUGGUGCUCAUUACUGUGUUGUACUAGAAUUGCCACUUAGUAUUCAGGAAAAAAAGCUCAUAGCUUUGCCACAUUUUUUGCAUUAUUACUUUAGUGCCUUGUUGCAAACAGGAUGCAUGUUUUGGAAUAUUUUAUUUCUGUACAGGCUUCCUUUUCACUCUGUCAAUUACGUCAGUAUUGUGGAGUGACUACAAUGUUGUUGAUCCAUCCUCAGUUUUCGCCUAUCACAACCAUUAAACUCUGUAACUGUUUAAAGGCACCAUUGGUCUCAUGGUGAAAUCCCUGAGCGGUUUCCUUCAUCUCUGGCAACUGAGUUAGGAAGGACGCCUGUAUCUUUGUAGUGACCGGGUGUGUAAUUAAUAACUUCACCAUGCUCACAUGCUCAAAGGGAUAUUCAAUGUCUGCUUUUUUUUUUUUUUUUAACCCAUCCACCAAGAGGUGCCCUUCUUCGCAUGGCAUUGGAAUUCACUGUUUGACUGAGGGAACUUCUAGAUAAUUGUAUGUGUGGGAUCAUGUUAAACACUAUUAUUGCACACACAGUUAGUCCAUGCAAGUUAUUAUGUGACUUGUUAAGAACAUUUUUACUGCUGAACUUAUUUAGGCUUGCCAUAACAUAGGGGUUGACAUUUCAGCUUUUUCUUUUUUAUUAAUUUGUAAACAUUUCUAAAAGCAUAAUUCCCACUUUUACAUUAUGGGACAUUGUAUGUAGGCCAGUGACAAAAAUCUAAGUUUAAUCCAUUUUAAAUGCAGGCUGUUACACAACAAAACGUGAAAAAAGUCAAGGGGUGUGAACACUUUCUGAAGGCACUGUAUCAGUUUAAUAAAGCUAAAUCAACAACAUGAUGUAGGAUUGGUACACUCCUGCUAUCUCUAACCACACCAGAUGUGUGCACGUGCGUGCCAUGUCCUCUGUGAACGUAAACAGAGAGAAAAGACGUACCCACACUGGCCCACUUCCUCUUUUGUGCUCUAUUAUUCUCUGAAUGUAAACAGAUGCCUAACUAUAGCUAUGGUUCACUGUUCUAAAUAUCCACUGUCCGAUGAAGUCCACAAAGCAUAUUGAAUGUAACAAAUAGUUACUUAAAAAAAAUUGAUUUAACCUUUACUUAAGGUAAGUCACACAGUAUGGUCGCGACACCACGUGACAACAACAUUGCAGCAACACAGUAUUGUCGCGACACCACGUGACAACAACAUGGCAGCAACACAGUAUGGUCACGACACCACAUGACAACAACAUGGCAGCAACACAGUAUGGUCGCGACACCACGUGACAACAACAUGGCAGCAACACAGUAUGGUCGCGACACCACUUGACGACAACAACAUGGCAGCAACACAGUAUGGUCGCGACACCACGUGACAACAACAUGGCAGCAACACAGUAUGGUCGCGACACCACAUGACAACAACAUGGCAGCAACACAGUACAAACAUUAUUCUAAAGACAACAGCACAAAGGCAAGAAGGUAAAGACAACAAUACAUCAUGCGAAGCGACCACAACUGUCAGUAAGUGUCCAUGAUUGAGUCUUUGAAUGAAGAGACUGAGAUAAAACUGUCCAGUUUGAGUGUAUUUUUUUGCGGCUUGUUCCAGUCGCUAGCUGCAGCUAACUGAAAAGAGUGACCCAGGGAUGUGGGUGCUUUUGGGACCUUUAACAGAAUGUGACUGGCAGAAUGGGUGUUGUAUGUGAAGGAUGAGGGCUGCAGUAGGUAUCUUCGAUAAGGGGGGAGUGAGGCCUAAGAGGGUUUUAUAAAUAAGCAUCAACCAGUGGGUCUUGCGACAGGUAUACAGAGAUGACCAGUUUACAGAGUAGUAUAGAGUGCAGUAAUGUGUCCUAUAAGGAGCAUUAUUGGUGGAAAAUCUGAUGGCCGAAUGGUAAAAAACAUCUAGCCACUCGAGAGCACCCUUUACCUUCCGAUCUAUACAUUACGUCUCCAUAAUCUAGCAUGGGUAGGGUGGUCAUCUGAUUCAGGUUUAGUUUGACAGCUGGGGUGAAAGAGGAGCGAUUACGACAGAGGAAACCAAGUCUAGAUUUAGCCUGCAGCUUUAAUAUGUGCUGAGAGAAGGACAGUGUCCCGUCUAGUCAUGCUCCCAAGUACUUGUAUGAGGUGACGACCUCAAGAUCUAAACCCUCAAAGGUAGUAAUCACACCGCUGAAGAGAGGGUAUUCUUCUUACCAAACCACAUGACUUUUGUUUUGGAGGUGUCCAGAACAAGAUUAAGGGCAGAGAAAGCUUGUUGGACACUUAGAAAGCUUUGUUGUAGAGCGUCAGGGAAGGGCCAGCUGAGUAUACAUGACCUACAGCAUGGUCAAGCAAGAUAAUUUUUCAGACUACUAAACAACUAUUGAUUUAGAACAACGGAAAGUUACGACAAGUCGGAAAGAAAACAGGAGCUGCCUCCACUAUUCCAGAACCAUUUCACCUUCAACUUUUCAAGAUCAUCAAAUCAAAUAUGCUUAGUCUAAUACAGUGACAACUAAAUUAUACCAAAAACAAUUUAGUCCAAUCAACAUAAGCUAAAUAUGAUUUGGCUGUCCAUGGUUCUGAUUUUGUGUGUGCGUAGGUAUUUUUAUGCAAGUACAAAAAACAUGUUGACUCACCUUACUUGUAGAGAAACGCCAAUGCCAUCCUCCUCUCUUUCAUGUUGACUCACCUUACUUGUAGAGAAACGCCAAUGCCAUCCUCCUCUCUUUCAUGUUGACUCACCUUACUUGUAGAGAAACGCCAAUGCCAUCCUCCUCUCUUUCAUGUUGACUCACCUUACUUGUAGAGAAACGCCAAUGCCAUCCUCCUCUCUUUCAUGUUUACUCACCUUACUUGUAGAGAAAUGCCAAUGCCAUCCUCCUCUCUUUCAUGUUGACUCACCUUACUUGUAGAGAAACGCCAAUGCCAUCCUCCUCUCUUUCAUGUUGACUCACCUUACUUGUAGAGAAACGCCAAUGCCAUCCUCCUCUCUUUCAUGUUGACUCACCUUACUUGUAGAGAAACGCCAAUGCCAUCCUCCUCUCUUUCAUGUUGACUCCUUCAUACAGUACACUUUUUGUUUUUGUUGUCAUAGACUACCUGGCUAAAAUGCUAAUCUAACUUCCUUUCAUGGGCAAUGAUGCACCACGCCAGCUAGUUAAGUAAUUCUGAAAAGAAUAAUGGGAAAAUAUUUCACAAUCCAGGCGGACAAAUAUCAUACCCCCAAGACAUGCUAACCUCUCACCAUUACAAUAACAGGUUAGCAUAUUUAUGCCUCUGUAACUUUCUCAUUCGUCAUUAUUCACGAUUAAUUCAGGAUUAUCCGUAAUCAUGGUAGCAUCGACACUAAUACAGAAGUGUUUAGAAACACUAUUCUUCUAUUCUUUUUUGCAAUAAAAGUGCCUCAAUACAUUAUUUACCAUUUUGAUUGGGCACAAAAUAAUCUGAAACACCACCAAAAGAAAAAGUUAAAAGAGUCACAAGCUUGAUGUAAGCAUUACAUGCUAGGAAUAUGGGACCAAAUACACAACUUUUGAUUACUUUAAUACACACACGUGGAUUUCCUAACUAAUAUUUUUGGUCACCUAAAAGGGGGAGGGGGGAACUACUAUGUACAAAAAGUGCAGUAAUUUCUACACAGUUCACCUGAUAUGGAUGAACAUAUCCUAAAAUUAAAGCUGACAGUCUGUACUUUAACUUCAUACAACAACAAACAAAUUCACUGUCCCAAUACUUUUGCUGUGCAUUCAGGAAGCAAAACAUUUUGUUAGGUUACAGCCUUAUUCGAAGAUGGAUUAAAUAAAAACAUUUCCUCGUCAAUCUACACACAAUGCCCCAUUAUGAAAAAGUGAAAACAGGUUUUUAGAAAUGUUUGCAAAUGUAUUAAACAUAAAAAAUUGAAAUACCACAUUACCAUAAGUAUUCAGACCUUUUACUCAGUACUUUGUUUAAGCACCUUUUGGCAGCAAUUACAGCCUCGAGUCUCCUUGGGUAUGAUGCUAUAAGCUUGGCACAUCUGUAAUCGGGGAGUUUCACCCAUUCCUCUCUGCAGAUCCUCUCAAGCUCUGUCCGGUUGGAUGGGGAGUGUUGCUGCACAGCUAUUUUCAGGUCUCUCCAGAGAUGUUUGAUCGGGUUCAAUUUCAGCUCUGGCUGGGCCACUCAAGGACAUUCAGAGACUUGUCCCAAAGCCAAUUCUGCAUCGUCUUGGCUGUGUGCUUAUGGUCGUUGUCCUGUUGGAAGGUGAACCUUUGCCCCAGUCUGAGGUCCUGAGCGCUCUGGAGCAGGUUUCAAUCAAGGAUCUCUGUACUUUGCUCCAUUCAGCUUUGCCUCGAUCCUGACUAGUCUCCCAGUCCCUGCCUCUGAAAAACAUCCCCACAGCAUGAUGCUGCCACCACCACGCUUCACCGUAGGGAUGGUGCCAGGUUUCCACCAGAGGUGACGCUUGCCAUUCUGCUGCAAUUGCCUGCUGCUCUUCACUGACAUCGUAGUCACCAGACCUGAGCCCUAGGACCAUGACUUAGGACUACCUGGCCUGAUGACUCCUUGCUGUCCCCAGUCCACCUGGCCAUGCUGCUGCUCCAGUUUCAACUGUUCUAGCUGCGGCUAUGGAACUCUGACCUGUUCAACGGACGUGCCAGCUGUCCCAGACCUGCUGUUUUCAACUCUCUAGAGACAGCAGGAGCGAUAGAGAUACGCUUAAUGA
Long non-coding RNA from Oncorhynchus nerka (sockeye salmon), 18036 nucleotides. RefSeq lists it as uncharacterized. The record is from RefSeq and is a predicted model, not a curated record. The transcript is spliced from 3 exons. NCBI's taxonomy places the organism in Eukaryota, Metazoa, Chordata, Actinopteri, Salmoniformes, Salmonidae.